This 565-nucleotide ribosomal RNA is filed under the name uncultured Glomeromycotina. RNAcentral's name for it is "SSU rRNA". It matches the Rfam family "Eukaryotic small subunit ribosomal RNA", at positions 548 to 1114 of the family's 1831-position model. The record is from RNAcentral. Lineage: Eukaryota; Fungi; Glomeromycota.
UUGGAGGGCAAGUCUGGUGCCAGCAGCCGCGGUGAUUCCAGCUCCAAUAGCGUAUAUUAAAGUUGUUGCAGUUAAAAAGCUCGUAGUUGAAUUUCGGGGUCAGUAGGUUGGUCAUGCCACUGGUAUGUACUGGUCUCACUGAUUCCUCCUUCCUGAUGAGCCGUAAUGCCAUUAAUUUGGUGUUGCGAGGAAUCUGGACUGUUACUUUGAAAAAAUUAGAGUGUUUAAAGCAAGCUAACGCUUGAAUACAUUAGCAUGGAAUAAUGAAAUAGGACGUUCGAUCCUAUUUUGUUGGUUUCUAGGAUUGACGUAAUGAUUAAUAGGGAUAGUUGGGGGCAUUAGUAUUCAAUUGUCAGAGGUGAAAUUCUUGGAUUUAUUGAAGACUAACUACUGCGAAAGCAUUUGCCAAGGAUGUUUUCAUUAAUCAAGAACGAAAGUUAGGGGAUCGAAGACGAUCAGAUACCGUCGUAGUCUUAACCAUAAACUAUGCCGACUAGGGAUCGGAUGAUGUUAAUUUUUUAAUGACUCAUUCGGCGCCUUACGGGAAACCAAAGUGUUUGGGUUC